AUGGCGACCGGCGCACGGGUGAGUAACGCGUAUGCAACUUACCUAUCAGAGGGGGAUAGCCCGGCGAAAGUCGGAUUAAUACCCCAUAAAACAGGGGUCCCGCAUGGGAAUAUUUGUUAAAGAUUCAUCGCUGAUAGAUAGGCAUGCGUUCCAUUAGGCAGUUGGCGGGGUAACGGCCCACCAAACCGACGAUGGAUAGGGGUUCUGAGAGGAAGGUCCCCCACAUUGGAACUGAGACACGGUCCAA
RNAcentral lists this ribosomal RNA (247 nucleotides) under uncultured bacterium. RNAcentral describes it as "partial 16S ribosomal RNA". It matches the Rfam family "Bacterial small subunit ribosomal RNA", at positions 88 to 334 of the family's 1533-position model. The record is from RNAcentral.